GUGGGGCGUCCGUUGGCUGUGCGGGAUGUAUCAAGUUCGCAGUCACGUCCGGUCAGAUUGGGGACGUUAAAUCCGAUGCCUCGUGUAAAGAGAGUGCCACGCUCUUUGCACGUUAAGAACCCAUGCAACAACUCUUUGGGGGUCCGUAGGUGACCUGUUGCAAGGCAAAAUUUCUGUCCCUAUCCAAUAUACCCUCAUUUUCCAAUGGCAGUCCAAAUUUCCCCGACUAUCAUCCCGAACGGCCUCUAUUAUGACAAGACCUACAUAUUGUAUUUAUUGUAAACUUGUUCUCGUCCUGAAUAUGCAUGAAAUAUUUGCCACUGGACGUUAAGCAAC
RNAcentral lists this long non-coding RNA (336 nucleotides) under Mytilus galloprovincialis (Mediterranean mussel). Lineage: Eukaryota; Metazoa; Mollusca; Bivalvia; Mytilida; Mytilidae. The record is from RNAcentral.